AAGCAUCUAAGCGGGAAACCUGCCCUAAGAUUAGAUCCCCCAAACCUUGUGUUUGUAAGACCGCAGACAGACUAUCUGCUUGAUAGGCGACCAGGUGUAAGCACAGUAAUGUGUGAGCCUAGGCGUACUAAUGGUCGAGAGGCUUCACCA
This 150-nucleotide ribosomal RNA is filed under the name Chloroflexota bacterium. RNAcentral describes it as "Chloroflexi bacterium (marine metagenome) partial 23S ribosomal RNA". It matches the Rfam family "Bacterial large subunit ribosomal RNA", at positions 2775 to 2925 of the family's 2925-position model. Lineage: Bacteria; Bacillati; Chloroflexota. The record is from RNAcentral.